AAAAAGACUCUCGGCAACGGAUAUCUCGGCUCUCGCAUCGAUGAAGAACGUAGCGAAAUGCGACACUUGGUGUGAAUUGCAGAAUCCCGUGAACCAUCGAGUCUUUGAACGCAAGUUGCGCCCCAAGCCGUUAGGCCGAGGGCACGCCUGCCUGGGUGUCACGC
RNAcentral lists this ribosomal RNA (164 nucleotides) under Bergera tetramera. RNAcentral's name for it is "Murraya tetramera 5.8S ribosomal RNA". It matches the Rfam family "5.8S ribosomal RNA". Rfam says of the family: 5.8S ribosomal RNA (5.8S rRNA) is a component of the large subunit of the eukaryotic ribosome. The record is from RNAcentral. Lineage: Eukaryota; Viridiplantae; Streptophyta; Magnoliopsida; Sapindales; Rutaceae.